RNAcentral lists this long non-coding RNA (4557 nucleotides) under Bemisia tabaci. Its description in RNAcentral is "lncRNA ENSASIAIIG007057". Lineage: Eukaryota; Metazoa; Arthropoda; Insecta; Hemiptera; Aleyrodidae. The record is from RNAcentral.
CCUAAACAAAUUAUAGGAAAAGAUCCACUUAGAGGAAUGUUUUAUUUUCAGGCGUGUUGUGAGCUAUCAGUCAUCUUGUCAUGACUUACUGUGAGGAUCUAUCAGAAAAGAAAUCCUGCGAAGCGGAAAACUGGUCUCCACCGUUCUUCUUCAGUGUCGACACAAAGGGGCCAUUGAGGCAGCAGGGUUGCUCUCGGUCGUUUCAUGAGUUUCAUCAUAAAGAUGAACAAGGAUACCUUCAUUGGAUGGAUAGAUGAAGUGAUCUCAAAAGUCUUUGAACUAUUGACCAGUCAGAGUAGUAGAACAAUUUCCAGACGCUCCGCUGGAUUGUCUAUUUUGAUCCAUCGUUUGGCUCUCAACGAUACCCGCCCGUACCAAAAUAUUAUUGAAAAAAUCGUUCCUAUUUUACUGGAUAUUGCUGCAGUACCAUUUGAAAAAAAUGAUCUUGUUUUGAAAGAUGUGCAACAAGCUCAAGCAUUACAUCUCUUAUGUAAAAUCGUUGAAGAUUCAUCGCUACGACUGUCUGUUGCUCCAUUUUUGGAGCGAAUUGUCUUGCAGUUAUGUUCCAGUAUUGCGUCACCUGUCUGGGGUAUCAGAAAUGCAGCGCUACAACUUUGCGGAGCAGUCAUCCUUAAGAUUCUGGGCCGCAAUAAAACCCAAGAGACUGAAUGUCUUGUCAACACCACCUUCGAACAGCUUUUUUCUCAUCAUGGAUACUUAGUAGAUAUCUUCCAAAAUUCUCUUGCCAAUCCUGCCAAAGAAGACUCCGACAAAAUCGUUUUUCUAUUGACAAUCUUAUCAUACACAUCCAUCCAAACAGACGUUAAGUCAACCAGAUCAGAUAAUCAGCACAGAUUUUUGCUUCAAUUGAGGGAGCUUGUGUACCAGUUUAUUUCACAUGAGCAUUAUGAAAUUCGCAGACUAGCUGCUUUGUCUUAUGUAAAUCUUUUCCCUGUAUCUAAAUUCAUGUUUGUUGCACAGGAAGCAGUGUUUAAGAUAAGUCUCUCUUUGGGAGUAGAUUUAAAGAUUUUGGUCCCUCAUAUUUUUGAGAAUUCAAUUUUAAGCCCUACGCAACUCAAUUUAUUAAAUACCAUGCCUUAUGAUGAGAAUUUAAUACACGGGUUACUUCUCGUCAUAAAAUUUUCUAUGGUUAAAUUUAAAAAAGAAAACAAUGGUUUUGACAAUGAGCUCCUUUUCUUUAACUUAGUUUACAGCCUUGCCAAUGAAGGUGACUCAAAUUUGUGCUCUGCGCUACAAUCACUCAAAAUUUCAAUGCCUUCCAGUAUCUCUUUAUCAUUCCCUGUGAAAACGGUAGUUCAUGAAAUUUGUUAUUUAGCAGACUUCACAUGUGGACCUGGAAAGACGGACACUUUUUUAGAGACAGAAUUCAGAGCAUUAACUAAAUUCAUUCACACUUACCACCCGCAUGAUCCGAAAUAUGUCGGAGUGAGUGGUUUAUCCGAAAUCAUUUUAAAGUGUCUUGUAGCAAGGCACAGUCCUCGUCACAUGGGUAAUAUUUUCUGGUUCUGCUCAAUGAAUUAUAGUCACAACUUACUUGAUGUUUGCCUUAAAGAAAUGAAGCUCGACGAAAGCUCUGCUGCGGAUAUGCUUUCUCGAUGCUUUAAAUUCCUAUCAGUAGGUUUCUUCUCAGACGACGUUGAGUCUAGAAUUAUCAACUUGACUGUGAUCGAAUUCAUAAUUUCCAUCUUAGACGAUUUCCAAAGUAGCUUAGUUGGUAGAGUAGAGGUCAAGAUGGACAAUAUAAAAACGUUCUGGUUAAGUUUCCAAACUGAGACUGACUUUCUGUCGAAAACAAUCCUAGUCACUUGUGGAUCGUUGUACAUGUGCUGCGACCUUGAUAGUAACGAUCUUACCCUUAAAGAAAUCCUCUCUAGUUUAUUAAUUUACUUACCAAAACUUAAAACCGUAAAUUUUGAAGCAGUCCGGCUUGAUAUUGCUAAGUCGUUGUUUUACCUUUCCAAGCUGGUUUCGCCAGCGAAUGAAGACAUUGUUUAAUUUGGGAGUCAAUAGUUUAUUUGUUACAAGAUGAAGAAUUCAGAAUCAGACAAACAGUGAGCAAAGUAGUCAUGUCUAUAGAAAACAAGGGAACGUCGGUUAAUCCUUUUGUUGCUCUAUUGAGAAUCAUCAAUCCAAAUUGCAUGUUAAAGUUAAUGAAACCAGAAUUGGUUUUCAGGUGCUAUUGUGCCAAAUUUACUAGUAUAACUAGUGCUGGCAGUAAUGAAUCCCCUAUGAAAACUGAUGUGAAUGAUCCUCUUUCUAAUCCGUUUAAUUACACACAUUAUAACUUUUACUUGGAGGAACCUGUUGUUUUAAGAAUGAUAUUUACAAGCUUCUGUUUUUUGUUACAAGAAAGUCUAGGUUUGAAAUUGUGCGAUGAAGCUUUAAUUUUGUUUGAGAAAUGGCAACUCACUGUAACAAAACCAAGCACUCUCCCAAUCCUGGAAAAUAAGCCUUUUUAUGAAGAACUAUGUUAUGAACUGCUGCUCAGAAAAGAAUACUCUGAAGUACUUUUUCGUUAUCACUCAUUAUAGACUCAUUUUCUUUAAGGUUGCCAAAUUUAAAAUCUUUACUCCGAUCUGUACUUGUAAAAAGUUUUUCAUCGCCUUCAAUGGUAUCAGAACUUUGUAAGUAGAUGAGUAGCUCUGACCAAAGUUAUCAGGGUUUAUCCAAGAAGCAAUGGACAGAAGGAAAGGUAUGAAUCAAAAUCCCAGGGAACAUUUUGUAUUUUCAACUGUAAAAUUCUGUAUAUCGUGAAAAUAUGUUCUAUAGACGUGUAAUUAAUACCCUGCCUUUAAGCCUUCUAAGAAAAAGGAAAAAAAAUCUGCGCUAAAACAUGACACCAAAGUCGGUCAUUUUGUAUAAUUUUUAAUCAGUUUAUGUCGGUGUCUAAAUCUCUUAAAUGAAAUAAAAAGUUUUACUCUUGCGACUAAAUACAUUCUACAGCCCUGCUCUAGGAGUGAGGCUAAUGUUGGUUGUUCUGUUGGGUUAAAUUUUGUUCAAUAUAAAUUUUUUUUAAAAUACAUACAUUUUUUCCUGUCUAUAGUGGAAUGAUUAUUGCUUUCCUUUUUGAUCACUGAUUCAAAUAUAAUUUUAUACUCUAAGUAAUCUUGACCCUUUAAACUUAAGUUUCAUUUUUUGUUCAUUUUCCAUUUUAUUUUUUAACUCCAUUAAAGGUUUAUAAAAAUGUACGGAAUCAUUGUCCCCCCCCCCCUCCGCCAUCUAUACACAAAGCAGUUACAUUGUGUGCAAAAGUAGAGUGUAGCAAGCUGAUAAGUCAACAAUACCCUUUCCAUGGUUUCAACGGAUCAUGAUGUGAUUCAGAAAAUACUUGUCUUGAUUCGAUUUGUAAUGGUUCAAAAUCCCUGCUGUUGCUUUAAGUACUUACAGGUAUUUGAAAGAAACACAAACAAUAAAUGUUGGUGUUUGAAUUAUUCUGCACAGGAUGGACAGAAUUUUGUAAAACUCUCAGGAAGUUUUCUUUUGAAAAAAUAUCAUAUAAAGUACCUAUCUGUAAUGUCGCAAUCGAGAUAGGAGGGCAUUUUUCGAUUUACAUCUUCGAUAAAAGAUUCAUCAUUUUGAUUUGAGGUUCCCAUUUUUACUACCCUCCCCUUAAUAACUUUUUAACGCAAAUGACUAUCAGAAACUAUUAACGGUCUAUGGCAUAAAUUAUUUUUGAAUCUUCGAUUCUGGGGUGCACAAAUCUGUGAUUUAGUUGUUUAAAAAACAUAGUACUACAUUUUUUUCCAAAACUUUCAAAAUUUUGGUAAUAUUUUUUUCAGUAAAGAAAACAUGAAUAAAAAUUUGCAACAUCAUGUCACAGAAAUACCUCAUUCAAUUUUUAAAAAACCAAAAAAUUCAUAGUCACGAAUAAGUAUAACACCCUGCCAUAGAGGGUUGAAGGGUAGUGCGGUAGAAUCAGAAAGCCCUGUGGCGAGAAAGCUGUUCGGUACACUCUACGAUGACUUGCACUCAGAGUAUAGAAGGGCAUCGUAUGGUGAGGCAGAGUGCAUUAGAGGUGAGAGCGCCUCCAUUUUUUGCUCAUGCAUUAAGGGCAUCCACUGAGCAGGAACAAUUGCAUUAAGGCGUUGUUUUCGAUUAGUAGUGAAAGUCGAUGCUGCAUCUGUAUUUCGCCGUGGCGAAAGCUUCGCUGUUGUUUUAUUUCAUUAAUUUAUUGAUUUAUUUCAUUCUUUUUCGGAAUAAAAACGGAUGAACGCCAUUAGCUUCGCCAAAUGUAGCAGGGUGUCUAGCAUCAGGACUUUCCCGGUACUAUCAGGAUUUAAUGCCCAUUUCAUCAGGAUUGGUUGUAAAAUCAGGAUUUGAGAAAAGUCGGCCGUCCGAUCGGAUUUUUUCAUCGAGCUAUUUUUGUGAAGUUACAUUCGCCUUGCUUGAAGUCAGGAUUUGGACAAAUUAUGAAAUCAGGAUUUAGCAGUCAAAAAUUAGGAAAAAUCAGGAUUUCCCAAAAUGAAAAAACUAGACACCCUGUAUAGCAUGAAAAAAAGUAAUUUUUUUCUCUCCUUCCUCUCUCCAAUUCUUUCC